Bos taurus (domestic cattle) is the source of this 1424-nucleotide long non-coding RNA. Lineage: Eukaryota; Metazoa; Chordata; Mammalia; Artiodactyla; Bovidae. The record is from Ensembl.
GUGAAAGUGAAGUCGCUCAGUCAUGUCUGACUCUAAGUGACCCCAUGGACUGCAGCCUACCAGGCUCCUCCGUCCAUGGGAUUUUCUAGGCAAGAGUACUGGAGUGGGGUGCCAUUGCCUUCUCUGAGGAUGGACCUUUACUACCUAAUAAGUUAAAGGUACAAAUCAGAUAGGUGAAUGUUGGUCAGACCUAACCGGAAACUCUUCCUAGGAUUUCAAGAUGAGAAUGAGAAGAGUGUCAAAUUAAUUAAAAUCACCACAUUCUUUGUAACUCUUUUGAGAUUCAGAUAUACUGAGUAGAAUUCCAGUUCAAGUGAUCAAGUUUUAGAUAAUGCUUCUGUAGUACCUGAUUCACAACAGUUCCCUUCAAACAUUCACACCAGUGUAAUGGCCCCAUCCCCAUUUCUUUCUCACUUUUUAUUUAUUUGAUAAUUGCAGAAUUGUGAGACUCUGUAUUCAUCUGCAUAAUUUGAGGGCUUUUGAGACUAGUUUCAACACCAAAAGGAUAGACUAGAUAGUAGAUCAUUCUUGAUAAAAACGUGACUUAUUUGUUAGAAUUUGAUAUAAACCUUUACAUUUCAGGGGCACUUUUCCCCCCUAAAACAGUCUAGAAUAGAGGAGGACUUAAUAUAUCUUUAUACCUCCCCUGUGAUUUAUUUAAGCUCCUGCAUAUUUUUGAGCCGGUCUUUAAGGAAAGCAGUAAUAAUUAAUGAUGGUCCUGUGGAUGUGGCUAGACAGAAAAGAGCAAUGGCACACACCAGCAUGUGCAGAGGCCAACCAGGAACCAGUUAUUUUGCUUCCAUAUGCUGCUACCAAGGGUGCAAAUUUACUUUGAGAUUUUGCUGUUAUUUUAUUGGGUUUUUUAAUUAAGUUAUUACUUUUCACAGGUUACUUUAAAUUCCAGACAAUUGUAAAAACAAACCUCAUUUGAGAUAUUUUAAUAUUACAUAUCAUGAAAACUACCAGAUGUACUUUGGUAAGAGAAAUCAAGGAGUUUCUCAUACAAAGGAUGCCAGGUUGUCGAUUUUCUAAACCUUGUGCUCCUCUUCAUUAAUCUGGCCCCUAGGACUUCCAGUGAUUCCACUAAUUAAGCAUUAUAUUAGGUCCUGCCCCAAGGAGCACUAGGGGGGUACAGAGUUAAAGAGGAAGCUGAUCCAACUGUUUUGCUUAGUUCUGAUUAUGGCUCUGGCUGGAGAAGAGUUUAUAAUCAUGAUUGAAUGUACAUUUUGUUAGUACCUUGGGUUUUAAUUAUCCAUCUUGUCUCAUCUAGUACUCUGUCAUCCAGAUAAUGAAGUAUUUGUGGGAGCAGAGCUCCUCACACACCAGGGGGUGUAAUAAAUGUUUGCACUUGACUCAAGUUGAUACAUUAUGACUGUGGCACAGUAAAUAAAGCUUGUGUACAAAAUAUUUAUUUCUAUGGCAGC